AGCAGCCGCGGUAAUUCCAGCUCCAAUAGCGUAUAUUAAAGUUGUUGCAGUUAAAAAGACUCGUAGUUGAAUUUCGGGGUUAGUAGGUUGGUCAUGCCUCUGGUAUGUACUGGUCUCACUGAUUCCUCCUUCCUGAUGAGCCGUAAUGCCAUUAAUUUGGUGUUGCGGGGAAUUUGGACUGUUACUUUGAAAAAUUAGAGUGUUUAAAGCAAAGCUAACGCUUGAAUACAUUAGCAUGGAAUAAUGAAAUAGGACGUUCGAUCCUAUUUUGUUGGUUUCUAGGAUUGACGUAAUGAUUAAUAGGGAUAGUUGGGGCAUUAGUAUUCGAAUUGUCAGAGGUGAAAUUCUUGGAUUUAUUGAAGACUAACUACUGCGAAAGCAUUUGCCAAGGAUGUUUUCAUUAAUACAAG
Molecule: ribosomal RNA, 410 nt
Filed under: uncultured Glomus
Lineage: Eukaryota; Fungi; Glomeromycota; Glomeromycetes; Glomerales; Glomeraceae
Description: SSU rRNA
Rfam family: Eukaryotic small subunit ribosomal RNA
Source: RNAcentral